Molecule: ribosomal RNA, 433 nt
Filed under: uncultured bacterium
Lineage: Bacteria
Description: partial 16S ribosomal RNA
Rfam family: Bacterial small subunit ribosomal RNA
Source: RNAcentral
AACGAACGCUGGCGGCAUGCCUAACACAUGCAAGUCGAACGAGACCUUCGGGUCUAGUGGCGCACGGGUGCGUAACGCGUGGGGACCUGCCCUUAGGUUCGGAAUAACUCCCCGAAAGGGGUGCUAAUACCGGAUAAUGUCUUCGGACCAAAGAUUUAUCGCCUUUGGAUGGGCCCGCGUUGGAUUAGCUAGUUGGUAGGGUAAAAGCCUACCAAGGCGACGAUCCAUAGCUGGUCUGAGAGGAUGAUCAGCCACACUGGGACUGAGACACGGCCCAGACUCCUACGGGAGGCAGCAGUGGGGAAUAUUGGACAAUGGGCGAAGGCCUGAUCCAGCAAUGCCGCGUGAGUGAUGAAGGCCUUAGGGUUGUAAAGCUCUUUUACCCGGGAUGACAAUGACAGUACCGGGAGAAUAAGCUCCGGCUAACUCCGUG